RNAcentral lists this ribosomal RNA (237 nucleotides) under uncultured bacterium. RNAcentral's name for it is "partial 16S ribosomal RNA". It matches the Rfam family "Bacterial small subunit ribosomal RNA", at positions 524 to 760 of the family's 1533-position model. The record is from RNAcentral.
UACGUAGGGGGCUAGCGUUGUCCGGAAUCAUUGGGCGUAAAGCGCGUGUAGGCGGCCCGGUAAGUCCGCUGUGAAAGUCGGGGGCUCAACCCUCGGAAGCCGGUGGAUACUGUCGGGCUCGAGUACGGAAGAGGCGAGUGGAAUUCCUGGUGUAGCGGUGAAAUGCGCAGAUAUCAGGAGGAACACCAAUGGCGAAGGCAGCUUGCUGGGACGUUACUGACGCUGAGACGCGAAAUC